Molecule: ribosomal RNA, 329 nt
Filed under: uncultured Imbricatea
Lineage: Eukaryota; Cercozoa; Imbricatea
Description: SSU rRNA
Rfam family: Eukaryotic small subunit ribosomal RNA (bases 120-329)
Source: RNAcentral
ACAUUAUGGCCCGCGUUUUCUUCAUUGGGACGUGAGUGCUGAAAUGUUUAUACUACAAAUUUUUAAGAAUGCGUAGAUCUAUCCUUUGCUGGAAUGGAUUUACGAACAACAUUCUUAAUCAUUUACUUUGAAAAAAUUAGAGUGUUUAAAGCAGGCUUCUUAUGCCAUUGAAUACAUUAGCAUGGAAUAAUAAAAUAGGACUUAUGUUCAUAUUUUAUUGGUUUAAUGAACUUAAGUAAUGAUUGAUAGGGAUAGUUGGGGGUGCUAGUAUUAAGUGGCCAGAGGUGAAAUUCUUGGAUUCACUUAAGACUAACUACUGCGAAAGCAUU